RNAcentral lists this long non-coding RNA (226 nucleotides) under Cebus imitator (Panamanian white-faced capuchin). RNAcentral's name for it is "lncRNA (ENSCCAG00000038248.1)". Lineage: Eukaryota; Metazoa; Chordata; Mammalia; Primates; Cebidae. The record is from RNAcentral.
GUUGAAUAUGUUUGGAGUUCUUUGAGCUUCCUUGAUCUUGAUGUCCAUCUCUUACCAAGAUCUCGAUGUCCUGGAUCUCGAUGUCCAAAACUUACCAAGACUUGAAAUUUGAAUCUCCUUCUGAAAAAGUAAGUCCACUCAGUUUUCACUUUCACUUUCCAUCAAUCAUUUACAUCAAUCCUCUCAACACUGUUUACAUUAGAAGGAGAAAAUUUUAAAAACCAUU